AGUGAACGCUGGCGGUAGGCCUAACACAUGCAAGUCGAACGGCAGCACAGUAAGAGCUUGCUCUUACGGGUGGCGAGUGGCGGACGGGUGAGGAAUACAUCGGAAUCUACUUUUUCGUGGGGGAUAACGUAGGGAAACUUACGCUAAUACCGCAUACGACCUACGGGUGAAAGCAGGGGAUCUUCGGACCUUGCGCGAUUGAAUGAGCCGAUGUCGGAUUAGCUAGUUGGCGGGGUAAAGGCCCACCAAGGCGACGAUCCGUAGCUGGUCUGAGAGGAUGAUCAGCCACACUGGAACUGGGACACGGUCCAGACUCCUACGGGAGGCAGCAGUGGGGAAUAUUGGACAAUGGGCGCAAGCCUGAUCCAGACAUACCGCGUGGGUGAAGAAGGCCUUCGGGUUGUAAAGCCCUUUUGUUGGGAAAGAAAAGCAGCAGGUUAAUACCCCGCUGUUCUGACGGUACCCAAAGAAUAAGCACCGGCUAACUUCGUG
Molecule: ribosomal RNA, 492 nt
Filed under: uncultured bacterium
Lineage: Bacteria
Description: partial 16S ribosomal RNA
Rfam family: Bacterial small subunit ribosomal RNA
Source: RNAcentral